Long non-coding RNA from Sinocyclocheilus anshuiensis, 185 nucleotides. RefSeq lists it as uncharacterized. The transcript is spliced from 3 exons. Lineage: Eukaryota; Metazoa; Chordata; Actinopteri; Cypriniformes; Cyprinidae. The record is from RefSeq and is a predicted model, not a curated record.
GUUAUCUUCAGGACCCAGGACAGUUUACUGCAGUCUAUGUGCACAUGGACCACUUGGCCAGUGCAUCAGCAAACACAGACAUUGCUGGAAGGGCCAAAAAGAUCAAGAAGACUAUGGAGGAUGGAACUUUUGUAGCCUUCAUUCAAGUCAUUCUACCCCAGGCUGUCAGUGGGGUUCAAAACCUC